RNAcentral lists this ribosomal RNA (447 nucleotides) under uncultured bacterium. RNAcentral's name for it is "partial 16S ribosomal RNA". It matches the Rfam family "Bacterial small subunit ribosomal RNA", at positions 28 to 523 of the family's 1533-position model. The record is from RNAcentral.
GAUGAACGCUGGCGGCAGGCCUAACACAUGCAAGUCGAGCGCCCCGCAAGGGGAGCGGCAGACGGGAGAGUAACACGUGGGAACGUACCCUUUGGUUCGGAACAACCCAGGGAAACUUGGGCUAAUACCGGAUAAGCCCUUACGGGGAAAGAUUCAUCGCCGAAGGAUCGGCCCGCGUCUGAUUAGCUAGUUGGUGGGGUAACGGCCCACCAAGGCGACGAUCAGUAGCUGGUCUGAGAGGAUGAUCAGCCUCACUGGGACUGAGACACGGCCCAGACUCCUACGGGAGGCAGCAGUGGGGAAUAUUGGACAAUGGGCGCAAGCCUGAUCCAGCCAUGCCGCGUGGGUGAUGAAGGCCCUAGGGUUGUAAAGCCCUUUCGGCGGGGAAGAUAAUGACGGUACCCGCAGAAGAAGCCCCGGCUAACUUCGUGCCAGCAGCCGCCGUAA